Molecule: ribosomal RNA, 486 nt
Filed under: uncultured bacterium
Lineage: Bacteria
Description: partial 16S ribosomal RNA
Rfam family: Bacterial small subunit ribosomal RNA
Source: RNAcentral
AUUGAACGCUGGCGGCAUGCCUUACACAUGCAAGUCGAACGGCAGCACGGGUGCUUGCACCUGGUGGCGAGUGGCGAACGGGUGAGUAAUACAUCGGAACAUGUCCUGUAGUGGGGGAUAGCCCGGCGAAAGCCGGAUUAAUACCGCAUACGAUCUACGGAUGAAAGCGGGGGACCUUCGGGCCUCGCGCUAUAGGGUUGGCCGAUGGCUGAUUAGCUAGUUGGUGGGGUAAAGGCCUACCAAGGCGACGAUCAGUAGCUGGUCUGAGAGGACGACCAGCGACACGGGGACUGAGACAGGGCCCAGACUCCUGCGGGAGGCAGCAGUGGGGAAUUUUGGACAAUGGGCGAAAGCCUGAUCCAGCAAUGCCGCGUGUGUGAAGAAGGCCUUCGGGUUGUAAAGCACUGUUGUCCGGAAAGAAAUCCUUGGCCCUAAUACGGUCGGGGGAUGACGGUACCGGAAGAAUAAGCACCGGCUAACUACGUG